Molecule: ribosomal RNA, 361 nt
Filed under: Enterobacter cloacae
Lineage: Bacteria; Pseudomonadati; Pseudomonadota; Gammaproteobacteria; Enterobacterales; Enterobacteriaceae
Description: partial 23S ribosomal RNA
Rfam family: Bacterial large subunit ribosomal RNA
Source: RNAcentral
UAGGUUAACGAGGCGAACCGGGGGAACUGAAACAUCUAAGUACCCCGAGGAAAAGAAAUCAACCGAGAUUCCCCCAGUAGCGGCGAGCGAACGGGGAGCAGCCCAGAGUCUGAAUCAGCUUGUGUGUUAGUGGAAGCGUCUGGAAAGUCGCACGGUACAGGGUGAAAGUCCCGUACACGAAAGCACACAGGCUGUGAACUCGAAGAGUAGGGCGGGACACGUGGUAUCCUGUCUGAAUAUGGGGGGACCAUCCUCCAAGGCUAAAUACUCCUGACUGACCGAUAGUGAACCAGUACCGUGAGGGAAAGGCGAAAAGAACCCCGGCGAGGGGAGUGAAAAAGAACCUGAAACCGUGUACGUA